CGAGGACGAACGCUGGCGGCGUGCCUAACACAUGCAAGUCGAACGAGAUCCAUGGGAGCUUGCUCCCGGAAGAUCUAGUGGCGAACGGGUGAGUAACACGUGAGAAACCUGUCCUGGAGUGGGGAAUAACUCGGGGAAACUCGAGCUAAUGCCGCAUACCCUCGGAUGGUCGCAUGGCCGACCGAGGAAAGAUUUAUCGCUCUAGGAGGGUCUCGCGGCCUAUCAGCUAGUUGGUGGGGUAACGGCCUACCAAGGCAACGACGGGUAGCUGGUUUGAGAGAACGAUCAGCCACACUGGGACUGAGACACGGCCCAGACCCCUACGGGAGGCAGCAGUGGGGAAUCUUGCGCAAUGGGCGAAAGCCUGACGCAGCAACGCCGCGUGCGGGAUGACGGCCUUCGUGGUUGUAAACCGCUUUCAGCAGGGACGAAAAUGACGGUACCUGCAGAAGAAGCCCCGGCUAACUACGUG
This 472-nucleotide ribosomal RNA is filed under the name uncultured bacterium. RNAcentral's name for it is "bacterial SSU rRNA". It matches the Rfam family "Bacterial small subunit ribosomal RNA", at positions 26 to 507 of the family's 1533-position model. The record is from RNAcentral.